This 265-nucleotide ribosomal RNA is filed under the name uncultured bacterium. RNAcentral describes it as "partial 16S ribosomal RNA". It matches the Rfam family "Bacterial small subunit ribosomal RNA", at positions 334 to 616 of the family's 1533-position model. The record is from RNAcentral.
GAAACCUACGGGGCGCAGCAGUGGGGAAUAUUGCACAAUGGGGGAAACCCUGAUGCAGCGACGCCGCGUGAGUGAAGAAGUAUUUCGGUAUGUAAAGCUCUGUCAGCAGGGAAGAAAAUGACGGUACCUGACCAAGAAGCCCCGGCUAACUACGUGCCAGCAGCCGCGGUAAUACGGAGGGUGCGAGCGUUAAUCGGAAUUACUGGGCGUAAAGCGCUCGUAGGCGGUAUGUCAAGUCAAGGGUGAAAUCCCCGCGCUCAACGCG